This is a long non-coding RNA of Nerophis ophidion (straightnose pipefish), 834 nucleotides long. RefSeq lists it as uncharacterized. The record is from RefSeq and is a predicted model, not a curated record. The transcript is spliced from 2 exons. Lineage: Eukaryota; Metazoa; Chordata; Actinopteri; Syngnathiformes; Syngnathidae.
UCUGAACAGGCAAUUUCUGAGGUAACAGCAGAAACAUUUUUUUUUUUAUCAGGGAUCUUAUGUUUAAAAAACUUAUAUUAUAGGUAGUGGGCUGUUUUAGGGAAUUUUUGAUCAAAUUAUCCGUAGUAGCAAUAUUAAUAAUGUUGUGUUUAUUCUGCGUAGUGGACUUAAAAUAAUUAUGACCAUAUCUGUUUGCUUGGUGCUUUGAUAAACUGAACGCAUAUACAUGGUACUAUAUUGUGAUGUUAUGAGCCAGGGGAAAAAAGAACUACCCUACCCAGCAUGCAACAGGAGUGACGAGCAUGCGCGGUAGCCCGGGAUAGGUUGUGUCGCCAUGACGGCAUCUUGUAUGUUGUGAUAUGCAGGCUCUGAAAGUAAAUGUUAAGAACUCAGCCAACACUCCUUGUCUGCAUUAUUGAUAAAUAGACGGACAACACAUAUACUCCGCUGCUUCACAAAGCACAAUAUGUUAAAUGUUUACUUUUACAGUUUUCUAAUUCUUCCUUUCAGAUUGACAGCAGGACAAAUCGCUGGAAGUAGGUAUGUCUCAAGCUUCUUCCACUUGGUCCACUCCAAAGCGGGCUGCAAAGGGGAAGAAGUGGAAGCAGUUGAAUGACACAUGUUGCAUUUUGUAACUGGCAACAAAGUACCAGGUAAAAAAGAUUGUGAAGCCUGCCUCCAUAAAGAACUAGUAGCUCUACAGGACAGAGAUUGGCUUGCCAUCAAGUACUACAUCCAUAACAGAAUUAUAUUAAAAAAAGGGGAAAAAAAUGUUUUCCCACAUCUUCUGUGGUAGUUUGAGUAUGUUACCAGCAAUUAAAAAAGCAAAAUAAA